RNAcentral lists this small nuclear RNA (127 nucleotides) under Tupaia belangeri (northern tree shrew). RNAcentral's name for it is "U4 spliceosomal RNA (ENSTBEG00000018072.1)". It matches the Rfam family "U4 spliceosomal RNA". From Rfam's summary of the family: U4 small nuclear RNA (U4 snRNA) is a component of the major U2-dependent spliceosome. The structure of U4 snRNA from yeast and human has been reported. The record is from RNAcentral. Lineage: Eukaryota; Metazoa; Chordata; Mammalia; Scandentia; Tupaiidae.
AGCUUUGCGCAGUGGCAGUAUCGUAGCCAAUGAGGUUUAUCCGAGGCGCGAUUAUUGCUAAUUGAAAGAAAACCCCCAAUCUAUAAGCAAUGACUCUUCUACCAAUUAAAGAAAGAAAAAUAAAUUU